GUCGUGGAAUCAAACGCUUUUUUGACCUCUGCUUUGAAGCGGCGAGCGGCAAUCGGAGGUGGUCUCCGCACGGCCCAGUCGCCGUCCUUCCGCUCCCCUGUCCCAGCAGAUUGACCUCUCUCGUGGCUGCGCGCUUUGAUCAUGCCUUGGGAGCGGAUGAGGACCUUGUGGUACAAAGCUAAUCAAACCCCUCUCUUCACCAGCUUCACCUAUCCAACAGAAAGAUCAGAUAUGCUACUUCCUCCUACAAAACUGGUAUUGUAAGUAACAGAGAACUGAGCACAUCUAGAACAGAAAGCAUGAAUGUAGAUCAAGCUCUUUCUCAUGCUAAGAGGUCUAACAUAUCAAAUUGUAGUACUAUAGUUGAAACCUCGAUACUUUUGGCCUUGGUACUAAGAGUACAAAAAUGGAGGAUGGCCCCACUAGUGCAGAAAGAUGCAGCUUAUUAAGAAAGUGCCCAGUUGUAACACAUCCAGCUCUGACAAGACUAAAUGUCCCAAGGAGCAGCAGAUAUUUGAUUGGACCGAGCACUUGCUGAGGUGCUGAUAAAGAAAAUGCAAUACUGGAUUCAAAGAUGGAUGUCAUAAGACCCCUCAGACAGCUGAAGCUCAUGUGAGUAUCGAUGCACCCAGGCUAUGUGAGCCUGAAUAUGCAAAAUGAUAAUUUUGAGGGGAAACAGUUCCCAAGCAUCAGGGCUAUGGCACUGAUGGGGAGAGCAAUGAGCAGUUUCCAGACUCAUCAAUUUCAGAGAAAGGUAUCAUUAGUGGUGUGGAGUGUGGAGGAGUUUUGAAAGCUACAGGACUUUGGUUUUGAAUCUCCAAUCUUCUCGUGGACUUUCAUGGCGAGAAAGAUACAAUAUUGUGGAUCAAAACACUGUUGCGGUUGAUGGAUGUGGAACAUUAUCUGAGUUGGGUGGUUGUAUUACAUCAGUAGGUUUCUUGUGGACUUUUCUUAUCUGUUGUGCUCUGAGUUCCACUGUAAGUAAUCUGACUUAUAAUCUCCUUCACAAACACCAAAACAUUGUUUUCUUGUUA
This is a long non-coding RNA of Musa acuminata AAA Group (dessert banana), 1034 nucleotides long. RefSeq lists it as uncharacterized. Lineage: Eukaryota; Viridiplantae; Streptophyta; Magnoliopsida; Zingiberales; Musaceae. The transcript is spliced from 2 exons. The record is from RefSeq and is a predicted model, not a curated record.